UUUGGGAAGUAAAAAAUCGUAACAAGGUCUCCGUAGGUGAACCUGCGGAGGGAUCAUUACACAAAUAUGAAGGCGGGCUGGAACCUCUCGGGGUUACAGCCUUGCUGAAUUAUUCACCCUUGUCUUUUGCGUACUUCUUGUUUCCUUGGUGGGUUCGCCCACCACUAGGACAAACAUAAACCUUUUGUAAUUGCAAUCAGCGUCAGUAACAAAUUAAUAAUUACAACUUUCAACAACGGAUCUCUUGGUUCUGGCAUCGAUGAAGAACGCAGCGAAAUGCGAUAAGUAGUGUGAAUUGCAGAAUUCAGUGAAUCAUCGAAUCUUUGAACGCACAUUGCGCCCUUUGGUAUUCCAAAGGGCAUGCCUGUUCGAGCGUCAUUUGUACCCUCAAGCUUUGCUUGGUGUUGGGCGUCUUGUCUCUAGCUUUGCUGGAGACUCGCCUUAAAGUAAUUGGCAGCCGGCCUACUGGUUUCGGAGCGCAGCACAAGUCGCACUCUCUAUCAGCAAAGGUCUAGCAUCCAUUAAGCCUUUUUUCAACUUUGACCUCGGAUCAGGUAGGAACCCCCAC
Molecule: ribosomal RNA, 568 nt
Filed under: Pleosporales sp. WSN3
Lineage: Eukaryota; Fungi; Ascomycota; Dothideomycetes; Pleosporales
Description: eukaryotic LSU rRNA
Rfam family: 5.8S ribosomal RNA (bases 225-378)
Source: RNAcentral